RNAcentral lists this ribosomal RNA (543 nucleotides) under Staphylococcus aureus. Its description in RNAcentral is "bacterial SSU rRNA". It matches the Rfam family "Bacterial small subunit ribosomal RNA", at positions 119 to 653 of the family's 1533-position model. Lineage: Bacteria; Bacillati; Bacillota; Bacilli; Caryophanales; Staphylococcaceae. The record is from RNAcentral.
GGGUAACCCGCCAUAUGAUCGGACUCUUCUGGGAAGCCGGGGCUCACCGCGGACAUUUUUAGAAUCGUUGUUUCCAAAUUCAGAGGCGGCUUCGGCUGGCGCUUAGGCAUGGACCCGCUUCACACUAUUUAUUUGGUGACCUGACGUCUCACCCCGCCACCAGACGUAGACGACCUGAACGGCUGAUCGGCCAUUUUGGGACUGACACACUCCCCAGACUCCUACGGGAGGGAACUCUCUGGAAUCUUCCCCAAUGAACCAAAGUCUGAGGGAGCAUCGCCACGUGAGUGAUGAAGGCUUUCUCGUCGUAACCUCUGAUGUUAGGCAAGAACAAGUGUUAGUUGAAUCAACUGUCACCUUGACAUUACCUAACCACAAGGCGACGGCGAACUAUGUGCCCUCAACCGCGUUAAUACCUAUGUGGUGAGCGUUAUCCGCAAUUAAUGGGCGUAAAGCCCGCUCACGUGGCUUCUUAAGUCUGAUGCGACACCCUACGACUCAAUCGUGAAAAGUCUUCGCACACUGUUAUACUUUAAUGCAGAA